GGGCUCAUGGCCUAAUGGUAAGGCGUCAGAUUUCGGUCUAUCCUUCAGCCCACUAAUGCCCUGAAGGACCUCGUUUCUCUGAAGAUUGCAGGUUCGAUCCCUGCUGAGCUCG
This is a non-coding RNA of Xylariaceae sp. FL0662B, 112 nucleotides long. The record is from the annotation of a GenBank genome assembly. Lineage: Eukaryota; Fungi; Ascomycota; Sordariomycetes; Xylariales; Xylariaceae.